Centruroides sculpturatus (bark scorpion) is the source of this 979-nucleotide long non-coding RNA. RefSeq lists it as uncharacterized. The record is from RefSeq and is a predicted model, not a curated record. Lineage: Eukaryota; Metazoa; Arthropoda; Arachnida; Scorpiones; Buthidae. The transcript has 3 exons.
UAUGAAUCAACCGUUCGAUUAUUAUUGCAGGUGGUGCAGGACGGUAUAACGGAAACAAUUUAUAGAUUUGUUUUUUGACAUUUUAAGAAUCUGAAGAAAUGCCUCAACUGUUAAAAUAACAAUACUAAUUUUUUCAGAAGAACGAAAGACAGAAGUACAUAGAGAUGGCAAAUUUCAUCAAUAAGCAACAGGCAAUGCCAAGAGAGAUGUCUUGAAGGUAGGUUAAUAUACUACAGGUUAAUAUUAUUUGCAAAGAAAGAAAAUAAAAAACAUAAAACAUAAUGAAGAUUAUUUUUAAUUAUAGACUACAUAUUAUUGUUUUGUCAUACACUCAUUCACAAAAAGUUACACAGCCAGAUAGAAUUGUCCAAAAGUGCAAAAUUUGACACACAGCUGUCUCAGACAGACAGGUACAUAAAUGUGUACAGUUAUGAUAUGACUAUACCUGGUAAUACCACUAGAAUGCCUUAAAAUUAUUACCCCAAUAUCCUAUAAAAAGGGUUGCAUAGGCUCACUGUGUUUAGGAGUUUCAAUGUAUCCAUUGUUUGGAGGUCUUUGAAUGCUAUGUAUGUCUGUAUGAUGUAAUCAGACAUUAUGCACAGCUGACAGUUUGAGAAAGGCCACAUCAUCAGGCUGAGCGAAGCAGGUUGUUUUUGCCAAAUUGCUCACUAUAUGGGCUGUUCCGAUCUGAUUGUAUUGGGUUAUUCGGAAAGUAAGUUUUUUUUUUACCACUAGAUGGAUUAGUCGUAUUUUUCCCAUCAUUUUUAUUCUAAACCAUAUUAUCAUUAUAUAUUUUGACAGGUAGUAUUUUAAGGCUUUAUUUGUAAAGAAUUUUGUUUGAUUCUGUGCAAUUGUUUUAUGUUUUGCGUCCCAUCAAAUAUUGAAGAUUGAAAGCAUCAUUUUUGGCAUAUUUUGCUUUUUUUUUAACCUAAAAAUUAAAAUGCUGUUCAAGCAAGAAAAAAAUUGUGGUACAUGUAUG